This 478-nucleotide ribosomal RNA is filed under the name uncultured bacterium. RNAcentral's name for it is "bacterial SSU rRNA". It matches the Rfam family "Bacterial small subunit ribosomal RNA", at positions 335 to 802 of the family's 1533-position model. The record is from RNAcentral.
ACUCCUACGGGAGGCAGCAGUGAGGAAUAUUGGGCAAUGGAGGCAACUCUGACCCAGCCAUGCCGCGUGCAGGAAGACGGCCCUAUGGGUUGUAAACUGCUUUUAUACAGGAAGAAACGGCAUCUAACGUGUAGGUGUUUGACGGUACUGUAAGAAUAAGGAUCGGCUAACUCCGUGCCAGCAGCCGCGGUAAUACGGAGGAUUCGAGCGUUAUCCGGAAUCAUUGGGUUUAAAAGGGUCCGUAGGCGGUCUUAUAAGUCAGUGGUGAAAUCUUCCAGCUCAAGCUGGGAAACUGCCAUUGAUACUGAUAGGACUUGAAUAUUUGUGGAAGUAACUAGAAUAUGUAGUGUAGCGGUGAAAUGCUUAGAUAUUACAUGGAAAUAUCAAUUGGCGAAGGCACGGUUACUAACAGAUUAUUGACGCUGAUGGACAAAGCGUGGGUAGCGAAACAGGAUUAGAUACCCUGGUAGGCAAGCGU